RNAcentral lists this transfer RNA (72 nucleotides) under Alphaproteobacteria bacterium. Its description in RNAcentral is "tRNA-Gln". It matches the Rfam family "tRNA". From Rfam's summary of the family: Transfer RNA (tRNA) molecules are approximately 80 nucleotides in length. The record is from RNAcentral. Lineage: Bacteria; Pseudomonadati; Pseudomonadota; Alphaproteobacteria.
GCUCUCAUAGUGUAGCGGUUAGCACCACAGACUUUGAAUCUGUUAUCCUGGGUUCAAAUCCCGGUGAGAGCU